This 397-nucleotide RNase P RNA is filed under the name Tropicibacter naphthalenivorans. RNAcentral's name for it is "Bacterial RNase P class A". It matches the Rfam family "Bacterial RNase P class A". From Rfam's summary of the family: Ribonuclease P (RNase P) is a ubiquitous endoribonuclease, found in archaea, bacteria and eukarya as well as chloroplasts and mitochondria. Its best characterised activity is the generation of mature 5'-ends of tRNAs by cleaving the 5'-leader elements of precursor-tRNAs. The record is from Rfam by way of RNAcentral. Lineage: Bacteria; Pseudomonadati; Pseudomonadota; Alphaproteobacteria; Rhodobacterales; Roseobacteraceae.
GUGGAAGACUGGACGGCCGCUGCCCGGUAACGGGGAGAGGAAAGUCCGGACUCGACAAAGCAUUGGUGCCGGGUAACGCCCGGGCAGGGCAACCUGACGGAUAGCGCCACAGAAAACAGACCGCCUUUUGGUUCGCCAAAAGGUAAGGGUGAAACGGUGGGGUAAGAGCCCACCGGGGGGCUGGCAACAGCGCCCGCAUGGCAAGCCCCACCGGGAGCAAUGCCAAAUAGGGACCUCGCGUGCGCUGAUCCUGCACGGGAUAUCGGCACAGGGCGGCUUUGGCCCGAGAGGUCCGGGUUGGCAGCAAGAGCGGCGUGGCAACGCGCCGCCUAGAUGAAUGGUCGUCGAACCCCGGCAACGGGGGGAACAAAAUCCGGCUUAUAGGUCUUCCACGCAA